UAGGGUUAGGGUUGGGCUUGGAGCUAGGAUUUUUCUGAGUGCACUGAACCAACUCCCGAGUCUCUAGGACAUUCCUAAUAAAAUUUGAUUUUUUCCCAUAGGAAUGCAUGGGUUAGGGUUAUGGUUAGGGUUAGGGUUGGAGCUAGGGUUAGGGUUAGGGUUAGGGUUGGAGUUAGGGUUAGUGUUGGAGCUAGGGUUAGGGUUGGGCUUGGAGCUAGGAUUUUUCUGAGUACAAUGAACCAACUCCCGAGUCUCUUGGACGUUCCUAA
Non-coding RNA from Xyrichtys novacula (pearly razorfish), 269 nucleotides. NCBI's taxonomy places the organism in Eukaryota, Metazoa, Chordata, Actinopteri, Labriformes, Labridae. The record is from the annotation of a GenBank genome assembly.